AUCCUGAUGAGGUACCAUGGGGCCAGCCCUGCUUUGCAAGAUGCCUCUGCAAGGAAAAGAGCUGUUAACCCAAAUUACUUGGUAGCGCUCAGAAAUUCUAGCAGAUUUCCAUAGAGGGGGGAAAAUUAAGAUCAUAGAAAACUCUUGGCAGCAUAUGAAGGGAGAAGCAAUGCCAGACUUGUAACCAAUCAUGAAAAUGCAUGUUGUGAAGAAUAAAGAAAUGAUGAACCCUCUUCACUAAUGAACUCUACUUUUAUUCAGAAUGAAGAUGUCUUCCAGCAACAUGUUUUUUCUUUCUCUUUCUCCCCACUUCUAACAUGCUGAGUGAAAAGAAAAAAGCCCAGUUCUACAUGUCUUGAACAGACUCAAACAUCUGUGAAUAAAUAAGUGCUAAACAUUAGAUACCUCCCAUUUAAGUUUCAAAGUCUCUUUCAGAGGAUAGUAAAUGAUAUUAUUUUGCCUCCCAGAAAGGAAAAUUAAUUCACAGAGAGGCUGACUUA
Oxyura jamaicensis (ruddy duck) is the source of this 500-nucleotide long non-coding RNA. RefSeq lists it as uncharacterized. The transcript has 2 exons. The record is from RefSeq and is a predicted model, not a curated record. Lineage: Eukaryota; Metazoa; Chordata; Aves; Anseriformes; Anatidae.